AUCACUGAUUUUCAGACAUUUACGCAAAAAUAGGCUCAAUCUAAGAAAAAAAAAAAAAAAAAAAAAGUUGUCUAAAUGGUCAAUCUGUGAGAGUGCAGCUUUAAAAAAUCAGCAGCCUGCUAGUGCUUUACAAUAGUAAAUUUUAAAAGAUCACAAGAAUUUUUUAGAUAUGCAAAUAAGUGUGAUAGCCAGAUGAUAAGGCCAAGAUUGUAGAUGUAGAUUUAAUGUUGUAAUCACUCCUUUCAAAAUCAUUAUAAAAAAUUACCGUAAACAUUAUGCAUAAAAUGUGUUAUGUUUUGGAGAAAUUGUUAGACUAGUGUUGCUGUUUCAGUUAUAAAACUACUGGGUGCUGUAGAAAGGGGACAGGUUGCUUUGGGUAAAAAGGGCACAUUGUAUCUGCUGUGACCAUUUUUAGUAAUACCGGUAAUAUUAUAAGUUUGACAAAAAAUAUAUGAAAUGAUUUAAUUAAAGUUCUUUUAGAUUUCAAAUGCAAUAUUAAUAAAGUUUGAAUAUAUUUAUAAUCAUGUACAUGUAAUAAGCUUUAAAAUUAAAAAAGGGAAAGUUUGAUUAUCUUAAGCUUUCAAUUAUAUGAAGGGCGCACUUGUUGGUCUCCAUGGGAUUAUGCUACCCAAAAAAACAGGGUGCAGCACCCGCGUAUAACUCACAAGCUAAAAUCCUAUAAUAUAGAUUUUUAUUGUUAGAUGUACAGUACUAGAUGUUUUUAUGUCUCCCCCUCUCUGGGGGAGACAUAUUGUUUUUGCCCUGUCCGUCAGUCCGGUAGUCCGUCAGUCCGUCCGUACGUCACACUUCGUUUCCGAUCGAUAACUGGAAAACCGCAUGACCUAGGAUCACCAAACUUGGUAGGGAGGUUGGUCGUGAGGUGUAGAGGAUCCCUAUUGUUUUUGGGGUCAAAGGUCAAGGUCGCGGCGACCCCCAAUAUAAAAAACAUUUCUGCUCAAAAUCUUGAGAACGGUUUGACCUAGGUUCACCAAACUUGGUAGGGAGGUUGGUCAUGAGGUGUAGAAGAUCCCUAUUGUUUUUGGGGUCACUAGGUCAAAGGUCAAGGUCGCGGCGACCCCCAAUGUAAAAAACAUUUCCGCUCAAUAUCUUGAGAAUGGUUUGACCUAGGUUCACCAAACUUGGUAGGGAGGUUGAUCAUGAGGUUUAGAAAACUCCUAUAUUUUGGGGGGUCACAAGGUCAAAGGUUAACGUCGCUGUGACCUCUAAUGUAAAAAAAUAUUUCCGUGCAAUAUCAGGAGAAUGCUUUGAUCUAGGUUCACCAAACUUUGAAGUGAGGUUGGUCAUGAUGUCUAGAUGAUCCCAAUUGUUUUGGGGGUAACAAGGUCAAUAGUCAAGGUCGUGGUGACCUUCCAUGUAAAAAUCAUUUGCGUGUAAUAUCUUUAUGUCUCCCCCAUUCAUGGGGAGACAUAUUGUUUUUGCCCUGUCCGUCAGUCAGUCCAUCAGUCUGUCAGUCAGUCAGUACGUCACACUUCGUUUCCGCCCAAUAACUAUAGAACUCUUAGACCCAGGAACUUCAUACUUGGUAUGCUAGUUGGUCAUGACUAGUAGAUGACCCCUAUUGAAUUUGGGGUCACUAGGUCAAAGAUCAGGGUCAACGUGACCUUGAGGUGAAGAAACGGUUUCCACUCAAUAACUAAAGAUCCUUUGGGUCCAGGAACUUCAUAUUUGGUAUGCUAGUUGUUCAUGACUAUUAGAUGACUCCUAUUGAUUUUGAGAUCAAAAGGUCAAAGGUCAAGGUUACCUUCAGGUAAAAAAUGUUAUGUUGGCAGUGACCUUAAGCUUAAAAAUGGUUUCUGCUCAAUAACUAAAGAAAGCUUGUACCCAGGAACUUCAUAGUUGUUCAUGACUAGUAGAUGACUCCUAUUGAUUUUGAGAUCAGUAGGUCAAUGGUCAAGGUCACCGUGACCUUGAGGUGAAGAAACUGUUUCCGCUCAAUAACUAGAGAACGCUUGCAACCAGGAAUUUCAUACUUGGUAUGCUAGUUGGUCAUGACUAGAAGAUGACCUAUAUUGAUUUUGAGAUCACUAGGUCAAAGGUCAAGGUUGCCAUGACCUUGAAGUGAAGAAAAAGUUUCCGCGUAAUAACUAAAGAUCCUUUGGUUUCAGGAACUUCAUACUUGGUAAGCUAGUUGUUCAUGACUAGAAGAUGACCCCUAUUGAUUUUCAGAUCAAAAGGUCAAAGGUCAAGGUUACCUUCAGGUAAAAAAUGAUACGUUGGCGGUGACCUUAAGCUUAAAAAUGGUUUCUGCUCAAUAACUUAAGAACGCUUGUACCCAGGAACUUCAUUCUUGGUACGCUAGUCGGUCAUGACUAGUAGAUGACCCCUAAAGAUUUUGAGAUCAGUAGGUCAAAGGUCAAGGUUGCCAUGACCUUGAGUUGAAGAAAUGGUUACCGCUCAGUAACUAAAGAACACUUGCACCCAAGAACUUAAUACUUGGUAUGCAAGUUGGUUAUGUAGAUGAUCCCUAUUGAUGUUGUGAUCAGUAGGUAAAAGGUCAUGGUCACGAUGACUGUGAGCUGAAAAAUGGUUUCCGAUCAAUAAUUGAAUAACGCUUGCGCCCAGGAACUUCAUACAAUGCAAACUUCGUUUACAUUUCCAUGAUUAAUCAACAACACUUUCUUCUCUUCACUAUUUAAUAUAAUCGAAUAAACCAAACUUCACUGUUGGUUUGUCUCCAGUCCAAAGUUACAAAUUUCAUGUCCAUCAUUUAUUUUUUCUCAGCUACGACCACACAAUAGGGGAGACAAGCGCUUUUUCAAAAAAGCAAUCUCUAGUUUUAUAUAUAUUUUAUAUAUAAAGUAUAAACUUAAAGUUUAUGCACACAAUAUAUAUAUUUGUCCAGAAAAACUCGACAUUUGAAACAAUGAGUUAAUCGAAAAAUAAUUUAAAUGUUUCUCUUAUUUUAGCUCGUUUCUCUGUGAAAAUAACUGUGAAAGCACAUUGUACAUUGUACUUGGUGGAAAAAUCUAUGACUAUAUUGCGGUUAAGAAUUCAUUCAGCUAUAAUAUUGGGUGUUUUUUAAAUUAAUAUCAAUAAUUUGUUGUUGUUUUUAAUCAACUAUAAGCAUGAAAUAAAAAAAUAAUUGUUUGUCUAGUGUAAGAUUGCGAUAUAUUUCACCUCAUGAACACAAAAAAUAUAUAUUUCACUCAUGGCAAAGUUCAUGCGGUGAAAUAUAUUGCUUUAAUCUUACACUGAAACAACAAAUAUUUUCUUUGUAAACGGUGCAUUGACUUGCCAUUUCAUAUUUCAAUGCCUUUAAUACUCAUGUGAUAUAUGGUUUGUUUGUGACAUGGAUGCUUGAUAUACUGUAGAGGGCUUGGAUUUUGUGACAGUUUGAUUUUCAUGAAUAUUUCUGGUUUGAAUUUAAGAUUUUUGCUUAUCAAAAUAUGUUAUACAUGAGAGGUAAUUCAAUACAGACUUUAUUGAACAUUUUUUUUAAAUUGAUAGAAAAAAGCCUUUACAAAUUUUGUAUUGAAUAAUCACAAAUUUGAUAUUACUGAAGGAAUGAAUUGCCGGAUUGAUGUCAUUAUCGGGGAUAUGAACUCAGUGUGGCUAGUUCAAGUAUGAGUGGAAUGUUUAAAGCAUCUAAUAUCUUUUGAUAGAAAUCAGCCCAGUAUAUUUCCUAGGUGACAUUCUCAAAAUCUGUCAAAAUCCUGCCUUUCAGGAAUCACCUUCUGUCUUAAGUCCCCUAAAUGUCUGUGGCCCCUGGUCGGACCAAUCUAUGAUAGGUGCCUUCUCAACACUGCACAGGGAUGUCAUCCUUCGAAAGUAUAAAUUUGUCAUAUGUUCAUAUUUAGAUAUGAUGAGGAUUAAUCUGUGGAAGUUACUGGACCAAUCAAUAAAUAACAUAACAUGCCAAGAUAUUGUUAGUAUCAUGUAAAAAAUCUUCAUCAUUAAAUUGUCUAUAAGAAUGAUGUUCACCAUGUUGUAUUUUUAUUUUAUUCAUAAACAUGUACACAAAUUUGUUUGAACACCUGCACAAGAUUUGGAUAUAGUAAAAUAAACACACCUGAUUUCUCUUUAUGAAAGUACAAUAUUAACAGAAUAUUAGAUUGAUGGUAUUGACAUGUAUUGUAUGAUAAUAGUUCAUGUUUUAUAGGGAUCUAAUAACUGUAGCUAAUAAUUAUAUAUGUGGGCUGAAUUGUAACAGUAGUGUCCAUUAACUACCGUGAGUGGUCAACAUUAUAUUUUGUCCAAUGAGAAGACAGUAAACAUCAAAUUUGCAAAAUCAGCAGUCAGCCUUUAUUAAUUGUAAUCAGGUCGAGCGGUAGAUAUAAACUGUGUUAAUUCAAUUCAAUUCAAUUCAAUUGAGUGGGUAGUUUACACAAUGUUAUGUAGACCACUAAAAAUUAAAGGUUGCUAAUAUGGACUAAUACAAAAUAAAUGGUUGUGCGACUGUGUGGCAUCAACUCUUUAUUUUUGUAAUUACCCACUAACAACCUUGAACCAUUAGUUACCUAAUAUGUCAAGUGUCUGAUAUAUGUAAUUAAAUGUACAUGAAAUGUCAUGUUACAGCUUUUUGAAGCCAGUGGUCUUUCAAUUGUCUUUUAGUGGUCUUUCAAAAAAUAUGAGUGCCUUUGAAACAACUUCUGAUUUUUGUAAACAAUAUGUAGGAAGCAAAUCGAAGCCAAGCUCUUGUUGUUUCAUUUCUCAUUUACAAUAUACAGUUCUAAGACUUUGAUUUUAUUCUGUAAAGUGUAAAUCAUGUAUAUAUGCCAUGCACUGGUUGUUAUGAUGCUGUGUAUUUAUUUAUAUGCAAAGUGAAGUGUACUGUUAGUACUUAUUAUUACAUAUGCUUGGUUUAAUUGCAAUGGUUUUAUUGGUCGGGAGGCUGUCACAUGACAUUACAUGUACAUGUAUAUAGACAGUUAUAUAUAUACCCAGGCAAAUAAUGGCAAAUUUAUUGGCAAAUUUUUGUGUGUGAUAUUUUUGUAAACAAAAUCCCAUGGUUUACAGGGACCUGUCACCAUAUAUAAUACUGGGACAAUAUUCCCCUUGUUUUCAAUGGUAAAACUGGAGACUAGAAAUAGAAUUAUCGUCAAUCAUGUCAUUUCGUGAAAGUAACAUUUUUGACGUAAGUAAUGAAAAUUAGUUGUAAGAAUAUGUUUUUAUAGGAAUAUUAUUGCUACAAGCAUAUAAUAAAACACUUUCAGACUGACGAUAUCUGUUUAUACCCUGUUUUAUGAACCACAUCAAGUGAUAAUUACCAGACCUCCUCUCCCUGAACGUCACUUUUUAUUGUCCAUAAAAUGGAAUAUAACACCUGACUAUCAGUCAAUAUGCUAAUUGCUCAGAACUUAAUGAAAGAAAGCAAUGUCAUUUAAACUAUAUCAUUACCUUUAAAAGGGAUGCUAGUUUGUGAUCUGCUCAUAUGUUUAAGUAGAACAUGUACAGCUGGAAAAACCGUCACAAACCUUGCUAAAAACAUUGCAGAUCAUAAGCGUUUUGAUUCAAGUUUCAGAGCUAUAACUAUUUGAAAAUUAAUGCAGACAUUAAUGACAUUGUUAACUUUAAAUGAGUUCUGAACAAUUGGCCCUUUAUCUGUAAAUUAUUAUUGGUUACAUAGAUUUGUAAGCAGAUGUCUUAAUCCUUCUGUUUGAUUAAAAUAAAUCUAACACAAAGUUC
This is a long non-coding RNA of Mya arenaria, 5646 nucleotides long. RefSeq lists it as uncharacterized. The transcript is spliced from 2 exons. The record is from RefSeq and is a predicted model, not a curated record. NCBI's taxonomy places the organism in Eukaryota, Metazoa, Mollusca, Bivalvia, Myida, Myidae.